AUGCUCAGGAAAAAAAACUGUUGCGUCGAUAGACCAUGCAGGUGUCUAGGUCUCUAGGAGUGAGGUGCAAUAGGAAUUUUAGUGGUGGAUAGUCAGGCUGGUUCAUCUCAAUUUCUGCAAAGUAUGCAUGUGUCAACUUGAUGAGUUGUCCGAAAUUUGACAGACUCGGGUGUCCAUGACACAAAAACUGUAGUUUCUUUUGUAAUUUUCUGUAAAUUUUAGUAAUGAAAUUAAGAAUUUCUCCAAUACACCUCCUUUGGAAAAUUGCAUGCAUCCUAAAGACAUCGGGUUAAUUAGUCAUUAUCAGGGCCUGGCGUGCGUGUUGCCCCUGUACAGCUGGAAUGUUGUCGGUAGUGGCAGAAUUAAUCAAGCUAGCCAAACAUUGGAAUUAACACAAGAAAUUAUUUAGAGUUGAGGAAUUUAGUUGCUGUGUGUUAAUCUGUUUAUUUAAUAUUUUAUUCUCUUCUGAUUUUGAACGCGGCAAGCCAUGUUCAUCUCUACUGAUAAAGCAUUUGGAAGAGCAGUCUUUUGCGCCUGUAGUUCGAUGUCUUUUCUUUUUCAUAGUGCUUACAGGGGAACGUUCUUAAUCUAUUAUAGUAAUUCUCAUUUUCUAUGUUUUGUAGAAAUUUCCAUUCUGUAUUUUUUUUGACAAAUUGAGAGAUUGGGGGUAAUGAUCCUUCCUCCGUAUGAAAAUAGCAUGGCAGAUGUGAUGGAGCCACACACUUUCAGAGAAUACGGUCAUGUUGCAGCAGCACACCCGUGGCAGCAUCGUCUUAUUCGCUUAAGCUUAUUAGCCGAAUCUACCAGUCAUUUAGCAAUGUUUUUCUAUCACAACAAAUCAGCCAACGGUAUUUUCUGUCAUGGCUUAUCGUUGGACAUGUGAUGGGAACCAAAGGGGAAUGGAGUGCCUGUCCGCUAUCUGCACGCCAUGGCAGAAUGAAGAGGACACUUUGUACAAAACGUCCGUCUAUAUUGAGCUUGUUAGAUGAUAAGACUUGUUCCCCAAUGUAUGUCACUAGUACACAGAACCUCGUGGUGAUUGUUGUAAACACAUUUCUACACGAGUUUCUUAGAACUGCCAGCGCUAGGAGCC
RNAcentral lists this long non-coding RNA (1093 nucleotides) under Sorghum bicolor (sorghum). Its description in RNAcentral is "long non-coding RNA (SBIC_LNC015362)". The record is from RNAcentral. Lineage: Eukaryota; Viridiplantae; Streptophyta; Magnoliopsida; Poales; Poaceae.